AGGCGUUAAGAAAAAAUCCGCACAUAUGUCGACACAUUGCUCUGGGUGCCCAAAGUUGGGUGGAGAAUGAGGACAUAUGGAGGCCUAAC
This 89-nucleotide small RNA is filed under the name Acinetobacter nectaris CIP 110549. RNAcentral's name for it is "t44 RNA". It matches the Rfam family "t44 RNA". From Rfam's summary of the family: This family consists of a number of bacterial RNA genes of between 135 and 170 bases in length. The t44 gene is found between the map and rpsB genes in all species in the full alignment apart from Shigella flexneri. Lineage: Bacteria; Pseudomonadati; Pseudomonadota; Gammaproteobacteria; Moraxellales; Moraxellaceae. The record is from Rfam by way of RNAcentral.